This 245-nucleotide ribosomal RNA is filed under the name uncultured bacterium. RNAcentral's name for it is "partial 16S ribosomal RNA". It matches the Rfam family "Bacterial small subunit ribosomal RNA", at positions 524 to 767 of the family's 1533-position model. The record is from RNAcentral.
AACGUAGGAGGCAAGCGUUAUCCGGAUUCACUGGGCGUAAAGCGCGCGUAGGCGGUCGAGCAAGUCGGAUGUGAAAGCCCCUGGCUCAACUGGGGGAGGCCAUUCGAUACUGCCCGGCUUGAGGGUGAGAGAGGAGAGCGGAAUUCCCGGUGUAGCGGUGGAAUGCGUAGAGAUCGGGAGGAACACCAGCGGCGAAAGCGGCUCUCUGGCUCACACCUGACGCUGAGUGCGCGAAAGCGUGGGGA